UACGUAGGGUGCGAGCGUUGUCCGGAAUUAUUGGGCGUAAAGGGCUCGUAGGCGGCUUGUCGCGUCGGGAGUGAAAAUCCAGGGCUUAACUCUGGACUGGCUUCCGAUACGGGCAGACUAGAGGUAUGCAGGGGAGAACGGAAUUCCUGGUGUAGCGGUGAAAUGCGCAGAUAUCAGGAGGAACACCGGUGGCGAAGGCGGUCCUCUGGGCAUUACCUGACGCUGAGGAGCGAAAGUGUGGGGAGCGAACAGG
Molecule: ribosomal RNA, 253 nt
Filed under: uncultured bacterium
Lineage: Bacteria
Description: partial 16S ribosomal RNA
Rfam family: Bacterial small subunit ribosomal RNA
Source: RNAcentral